AAUACUGAUUUUGGAUAAUUUCCAUAAACUGAUUUUGAAAACUGGAAAAAAAAAAUUAAAUUAAACUAAACUUUUCGAUAAGAGCUAGCAACAAACCUUAAUUUGAAUUGAGUCUUAUCUUCGAAAUAUUCUAGAGAAAUUCAACCUAACCUCUAAGUUAUAUAUAUACACCUAAAUCCUAAAGCUGAUACAAUACCCAUCUCUUUCAAUUUACCAAGUCGUCAUUCCCAACCAGUCUUUCAUCGCGGAGGCUAUUAGGUGAACGUUUCGGAGGUUACUUACCUUGAGAUUUACGCACGAUCAAGCAAUUGCAAAGGGGGGAACGACGGAAUUGACUCCGAGCUAAACAUCGACUCGUCAUAAGAAGGAUUGGCGAGA
Molecule: long non-coding RNA, 378 nt
Organism: Chenopodium quinoa (quinoa)
Lineage: Eukaryota; Viridiplantae; Streptophyta; Magnoliopsida; Caryophyllales; Amaranthaceae
Exons: 3
Source: RefSeq, a predicted model, not a curated record